This 346-nucleotide ribosomal RNA is filed under the name Parastagmatoptera sp. MN028. RNAcentral's name for it is "partial 16S ribosomal RNA". Lineage: Eukaryota; Metazoa; Arthropoda; Insecta; Mantodea; Mantidae. The record is from RNAcentral.
GGCCGCAGUAUUUUGACUGUGCAAAGGUAGCAUAAUCAUUAGUCUUUUAAUUAAGGGCUAGAAUGAAUGGUUGGACGAGGUAAAUUCUGUUUUAUAUUAAUUAAAUUUGAAUUUAAUUUUUAAGUAAAAAAACUUAAAUAUUUUUAAGGGACGAGAAGACCCUAUAGAGUUUAAUAAAUGUAGUAAUUAAUUGAGUUAUGGCUUGAUUUUUGAUUAUUAUGAAAUUUAUUUAAUUGGGGUGAUUAAAGUAUAAAUAAAACUCUUUUUAAUUUUUAAUAGUAUAUUUAGUUAAGUGAUCCAUAUUUAAUGAUUAAAAGAUUAAAUUACCUUAGGGAUAACAGCAUAA